UUGUUUUCAGUUAGGCUUGGCCACAAGAGACAAAUUGCAAGGCAUGGAGACAUUUUUCUAACACUUGAAAAUUCUAUGCAAGAGCACCAGGCAGCUCAGUCACCUUGUCACUUAUCUACUGGGUCACCUUGUUGGCAUGGGAUGCCAGCCAGGCUUGCAGCUGCUCCAUCCUCCCCUGAAUUUGUACUUCAGCUUCUCCACUCAUGGCCUGCCCUGAGGACUUCAUGGUUCAGCAUCAGAUAUGAAGACGACAGCCCUAUAGAGACUAUUUAACCAGCUUCUAAGGUGGUUAAAUAUCUUACCAGCCUAUGAUGAAGAAAGGGAAACUCACUUCAGGUCAAUAGAGAUUGUCAUUUGGGACCCCUUCAAGACAACCAAUUAUAUGACUGUCUCUAAAAUAUUGCUAUCCAGCCCCCAUUCCUCACUUUUGUCCUACUGGUAAUAAGACAUUCAUCGUGUAUCUUUCAGAAGUCCAGAUACCACAGUCUGAGUAGUUCUUUAAUCUGCUUAUCUGGUGAUUCCAUCACAAAUGGUUCAGAUACUUCCAGAGACAACUGCCUUUAGAGGAGUCAUACACAUUCUCCUUCAGCCUGGACACUAACUCAGUAAGCAGCAGCUUCAGAAUAAUGCACCUGUGAUCAGGCCAAUUGGGAUAGAGGCAUCAUCUGCCCUUAUCUUCUCAGAGCCAAAGAAACUAACUUAAUUUUCCGUAUCAGCUUCAUUUUCCCCUUUACUCAAUGCCCAGAGAUUAAUUCUUGGUUUCAGCCCCACCCCAUGAAAAGGAUGUCUAUUCAAUCAGAGAGACACAAAGAUGGCUUGUGCAAACCAAGCAAAAAAGACACAAGAGGAAUUUAUUCUGGUUAAUAAGCUGAGAGCAAACAUGUAGAGGCUAAUUGUAUGUUGGGCAAAAGGCUCCAGUGAAGAGCUGUGAGGCUUAUGUAUGGGGACUCACCAGGGGCCAGCCCAGGCUGCCCACAAGACCAUGAGCCACCCUGUGACUGAAUGAAGUGGAGAGAAGGGAAAGUAGUUAAGAAAUCAAGAAAAGUGUCUUUCAGCACCAUGGCCAGAAGUUGUGCCACAGAAUUGGAACAGGGAAACCCAGAGAGCCAGUGCUGUCCUAGUCCUAGUGCUGAAUGAUCCCAUUGGUGUCCUUAGAAGGGCUCUGACUUCAGCCCACCAGCAGCAUGUGGACUUAUAAGCUUUCUAGCAGAGUUGGAGAUCCCCAGGAAAAAGAAAUCUCUUAAAAUGAAAUGAAACUUCAAUCAACCAAGGCUUUCUAGCCUGAUGUGAGUUGUCUUUACACACAUAUACCUUUUUAACAAAG
This 1324-nucleotide long non-coding RNA is filed under the name Homo sapiens (human). RNAcentral describes it as "HSALNT0165529". The record is from RNAcentral. Lineage: Eukaryota; Metazoa; Chordata; Mammalia; Primates; Hominidae.